CAACCCUCAAGCCCUGGCUUGGUGUUGGGCCUCUGUCCGCUAGUCGGGCGGGCCUGAAAAUCAGUGGCAAUGCUUCUCCAGCUUCAAGCGUAGUAAAUCUGUCUUCGCCUUGGGUGGCUGGAUGUUGCUUUGGCCAAACCAACCUCCAUAUAUUUUAUUAUC
This 162-nucleotide unclassified non-coding RNA is filed under the name uncultured Ascomycota. RNAcentral's name for it is "sequence contains ITS2". Lineage: Eukaryota; Fungi; Ascomycota. The record is from RNAcentral.